GUUACAUAAAUGUUGAUACAUAUAUGUAUAUACAUGUGGCAAUCGACAGAAGGGUAGUCAUUAGCGAUUAACACAAUUAUUCGUUGCGAAAAGGAAAACUUAUUUCAACCGUUCUAUAAUACAUACUACACUCUACAUUAUGUUGAAAGAGGAGAUUUUGAUACAAAUGCCAGAAAA
This 177-nucleotide unclassified non-coding RNA is filed under the name Haemonchus contortus (barber pole worm). Its description in RNAcentral is "28S-18S ribosomal RNA intergenic spacer". Lineage: Eukaryota; Metazoa; Nematoda; Chromadorea; Rhabditida; Trichostrongylidae. The record is from RNAcentral.